AAUCUGCGUUAAGCCAAUUCACCAGAGUGGCACAAUUAAAAUCUUUGGGCCAAAUCCUCCUUGUUCUCUUCAUGUACGCAACGCUUUUGAGAGUAAAGGGAUGAGUGAGAGCAGCGUUUAAGCUGUACAUUAAUAAUGUAUGUCCUUCGGAUGGCAGGGAAGGGGCUGGCAGAACAAAUGGAAGCACCCUGGGAGAUGAAACUGUCCGCGGCCAGAAUUGUUCUAUCUGGCUCUCACAUGCCGGGAGCAUUCAUCAUGACCUGCAGCAUCCACUCCUCCCUGGUGGUCCCCUCUGGAGCUGCCCUGACAAAUGAAGCCAGAAACUCCUAUGUUAGUGCUGAAGGUUGUCACAGGCAGAGUCACUUUUCUGGACCUUACCACUCUAAGAUUUGGCCAGAUUCUUCGAAUCUCACAGCCCUGCGCUUGCUGAGCCGUCCCCAGGAAGAAGUGGCUCAAAAUGUCACAGGACCAGGCAUGAACCCACCACACUGCUCCUGUGUGGGGUUUGGUGGCUCUCUUCAGCUCCAGCUGUGUACCUUACAGCUUUCUCCAGCUUAUGAUGGGAUCUCUGGUUGCAGUGCUGUGUGUCAGCCAGGGUUAUCCUGAGGGGCUGUUUGCCACCCACGUGCACUUCCUGUGGAAGCAGCAGUCAGUCGAGGUGAAGGAGCAGAAGGUUGCAGUGCUGGGGCAGCAGCUCCAAAGCAAAGCGACGGACUCCUGGAGAGAAAUCAGCUCUUCCAGAACCUGAUUCUUCUUGUCCUUCUGCAGAUGUCUCAAAAUCAGGAAGAAUGCAAUUCUUUAAUCAAACACAUUGAUUCGGUAGAGGUAAAGCUUCAAAAAACAGACAUACACACAGUGCUCCAGCGAAGAGUUACCAUCUGCCUUCCCUUCUCGUCCUCCUCCUCAAAGGAAGGAAGAAAGAAAUUCUGCAGGAGCUUAGCUCUUCGUUACCUGCUAGCUCUGACAUUCAUGAGAUUCCCUGCAGGAAUUUUCUUGCUAUCCAGGCACGAUGAACACCCACAAAAAUUGGCAAGGAGAUGACUUCUAACUUGUUUUCAAAAGCUGGCUCUAUUUCAAAUAGACAGUGUCUCUCUGGUAUCAAACCAGGUUUGGUUUUGCUUUCUCCUGAAAAAUAGAAAAGGCAAGUAGCUAUCCUACUGGUUGCCUUGAAAACUAGCAAAAAUACGAUGUUUCAGGGAUCAAAAGGAAGACAAUUUUACCUGUCAAAGCCUGAGGAUGAAGUUCUGUGUUUGCCUGAUAACAUCAUCUAGCUGAGCAUCCUGAAAACCUAAGGCAGAGUUUGCUUUCUGUAUAGUCUGCUUCCCUGCCUCUACUCCAGAAACACAGGCUGCCUACAGCAGGGAACACCCAAAUGUCAAAUUCAGAGCUCGGCCAUUGUGCCAGGAGAGAGCUGAUAUUGCUACAUCAGUCGUUAGUGUGCAGAGUUAAACAUCCAUAUUAUGUUUUCAUGCUGGAAAAAGUUGAGUCCGGGUGCAGAAGAAAAAAACAACACAACAGUAAUUUAGCUGGAGUAGUUUUUUUUUAGAUUGAGAAAAGUUAUACCAAUUCCCAUGGG
Gallus gallus (chicken) is the source of this 1576-nucleotide long non-coding RNA. The record is from Ensembl. NCBI's taxonomy places the organism in Eukaryota, Metazoa, Chordata, Aves, Galliformes, Phasianidae.